UAGGGAAUCUUCCGCAAUGGACGCAAGUCUGACGGAGCAACGCCGCGUGAGUGAAGAAGGAUUUCGGUUCGUAAAACUCUGUUGUUAGAGAAGAACAGCGCAUAGAGUAACUGUUAUGCGUGUGACGGUAUCUAACCAGAAAGCCACGGCUAACUACGUGCCAGCAGCCGCGGUAAUACGUAGGUGGCAAGCGUUGUCCGGAUUUAUUGGGCGUAAAGCGAGCGCAGGCGGUCAAUUAAGUCUGAUGUGAAAGCCCCCGGCUCAACCGGGGAGGGUCAUUGGAAACUGGUUGACUUGAGUGCAGAAGAGGAGAGUGGAAUUCCAUGUGUAGCGGUGAAAUGCGUAGAUAUAUGGAGGAACACCAGUGGCGAAGGCGACUUUCUGGUCUGUAACUGACGCUGAGGCUCGAAAGCGUGGGUAGCAAACAGG
Molecule: ribosomal RNA, 429 nt
Filed under: Bacteroidota bacterium
Lineage: Bacteria; Pseudomonadati; Bacteroidota
Description: Bacteroidetes bacterium partial 16S ribosomal RNA
Rfam family: Bacterial small subunit ribosomal RNA
Source: RNAcentral